This 253-nucleotide ribosomal RNA is filed under the name uncultured bacterium. Its description in RNAcentral is "partial 16S ribosomal RNA". It matches the Rfam family "Bacterial small subunit ribosomal RNA", at positions 524 to 776 of the family's 1533-position model. The record is from RNAcentral.
UACGUAGGGUGCAAGCGUUGUCCGGAAUUAUUGGGCGUAAAGAGCUCGUAGGCGGCCUGUCGCGUCGGCUGUGAAAACCCGGGGCUCAACCCCGGGCCUGCAGUCGAUACGGGCAGGCUAGAGUCCGGCAGGGGAGACUGGAAUUCCUGGUGUAGCGGUGAAAUGCGCAGAUAUCAGGAGGAACACCGGUGGCGAAGGCGGGUCUCUGGGCCGGAACUGACGCUAAGGAGCGAAAGCGUGGGGAGCGAACAGG